GCGAACUGGUGAGUAACACGUGGGAAACCUGCCCAGAAGCGGGGGAUAACACCUGGAAACAGAUGCUAAUACCGCAUAACAACUUGGACCGCAUGGUCCGAGUUUGAAAGAUGGCUUCGGCUAUCACUUUUGGAUGGUCCCGCGGCGUAUUAGCUAGAUGGUGGGGUAACGGCUCACCAUGGCAAUGAUACGUAGCCGACCUGAGAGGGUAAUCGGCCACAUUGGGACUGAGACACGGCCCAAACUCCUACGGGAGGCAGCAGUAGGGAAUCUUCCACAAUGGACGAAAGUCUGAUGGAGCAACGCCGCGUGAGUGAAGAAGGGUUUCGGCUCGUAAAACUCUGUUGUUAAAGAAGAACAUAUCUGAGAGUAACUGUUCAGGUAUUGACGGUAUUUAACCAGAAAGCCACGGCUAACUACGUGCCAGCAGCCGCGGUAAUACGUAGGUGGCAAGCGUUGUCCGGAUUUAUUGGGCGUAAAGCGAGCGCAGGCGGUUUUUUAAGUCUGAUGUGAAAGCCUUCGGCUCAACCGAAGAAGUGCAUCGGAAACUGGGAACUUGAGUGCAGAAGAGGACAGUGGAACUCCAUGUGUAGCGGUGAAAUGCGUAGAUAUAUGGAAGAACACCAGUGGCGAAAGCGGCUGUCUGGUCUGUAACUGACGCUGAGGCUCGAAAGUAUGGGUAGCAAACAGGAUUAGAUACCCUGGUAGUCCAUACCGU
This 718-nucleotide ribosomal RNA is filed under the name Lactiplantibacillus plantarum. RNAcentral's name for it is "bacterial SSU rRNA". It matches the Rfam family "Bacterial small subunit ribosomal RNA", at positions 98 to 803 of the family's 1533-position model. Lineage: Bacteria; Bacillati; Bacillota; Bacilli; Lactobacillales; Lactobacillaceae. The record is from RNAcentral.